GAUCAUGGCUCAGGAUGAACACUAGCUACAGGCUUAACACAUGCAAGUCGAGGGGCAGCAUGGUCUUAGCUUGCUAAGACUGAUGGCGACCGGCGCACGGGUGAGUAACACGUAUCCAACCUGCCGUCUACUCUUGGACAGCCUUCUGAAAGGAAGAUUAAUACAAGAUGGCAUCAUGAGUCCGCAUGCUCACAUGAUUAAAGGUAUUCCGGUAGACGA
This 219-nucleotide ribosomal RNA is filed under the name uncultured bacterium. RNAcentral's name for it is "partial 16S ribosomal RNA". It matches the Rfam family "Bacterial small subunit ribosomal RNA", at positions 15 to 225 of the family's 1533-position model. The record is from RNAcentral.